This 372-nucleotide unclassified non-coding RNA is filed under the name uncultured Metarhizium. RNAcentral describes it as "sequence contains ITS1". Lineage: Eukaryota; Fungi; Ascomycota; Sordariomycetes; Hypocreales; Clavicipitaceae. The record is from RNAcentral.
CCGCUUAUUGAUAUGCUUAAGUUCAGCGGGUAGUCCUACCUGAUUCGAGGUCAACUAUAAAAAGUUGGGGGGUUUUACGGCAGUGGACCGCGCCGGGCUCCUGUUGCGAGUGUUUUACUACUGCGCAGAGGAGGGCCACGGCGAGACCGCCAAUUAAUUUAAGGGACGGCUGUGCUGGAAAACCAGCCUCGCCGAUCCCCAACACCAAGUCCACAGGGGACUUGAGGGGCGUAAUGACGCUCGAACAGGCAUGCCCGCCAGAAUACUGACGGGCGCAAUGUGCGUUCAAAGAUUCGAUGAUUCACUGAAUUCUGCAAUUCACAUUACUUAUCGCAUUUCGCUGCGUUCUUCAUCGAUGCAUGCGUAACAGAA